Triticum aestivum (bread wheat) is the source of this 3608-nucleotide long non-coding RNA. RefSeq lists it as uncharacterized. The record is from RefSeq and is a predicted model, not a curated record. Lineage: Eukaryota; Viridiplantae; Streptophyta; Magnoliopsida; Poales; Poaceae. The transcript has 5 exons.
CUCUUCUAUUGAUAACUGCUUCCCCGGGUCAAAGCCCCUCCUCUAGCAAGCAAUGAACAAGAUCAUGAAGUCAAAUCCUGCUAUGUAUGUGCUGAGGGAGAGAAUAAGAAAGGGUCUUCAAUUGUCAUCCACACAAGUGUAUGGGCAGGACAAAAGCGUCUAGGGCAGCUGGCCAAGUGGAAAACAGCCGAGGAGGUUGCUGCACUAGUUCGAUCGCUUCCCGUUGAAGAGCAGCCAAAGCAAAUUAUUGUGACAAGGAAGUGUAUGUUGGAGUCCAUCUGCCAUUCCAAGCUUGCUUGAAGAUUGACAGGUUUGGUCUCAAGGCUACGGAACCGCAGAUGGUUCUUUAUAACAUAUACGAUGACUGGUUGAAAAGUAUCUCGUCCUACACUGCAUUCUCUCAUCUUGUGCUUAUACUACGAGCAUUACAUGUUAAUAAUGAGAAGGCCAAGAUGUUGCUGAAGCCUGACAAGACAAUGAUUAUGGAACUGCAUCAUAUCUGGCCAUCAAUCUUUGACUGAUGAGUAGUGUCUGAAGGUGGAAUGUGCGCUCAGAGAUAUCAUUCUUUCAGAUUAUGCAAAGAAAAACAAUGUUAAUACUGCUCCACCGUCACAGCAGAGGCAACAGAUAGCGGAGAUUGAGAAACAGUCCCGACAGCUAGGCAGCAGUUAAUUUGAUGAAAGAAAAUGAGAGUAUAAACUCAUAGCAUCGUCUGUUGUAAAAUUUCACAUCCAACCCACAAAGUUAGUCUUGCGCCAGCGACUGAUGCAAUGUAGUGAUGCAUGGUUGGAGCUCCUGAGAAAUACAAACAUACCACUCAGUUUAUUGCAAGUAUUUCUUAGUUCACCUUAUUACCAGAUGUGGUUAUUUGAAAAAAUGCAAUAUUCUUGAGUCGUUCACAAUUUGCAUUCGUGGGUGCAGUUUAUUUCACGGCAAAGAAGAUUGAUUAUAUGAACUUAUAUCAGAGAACUGCACCUACGUAGAAUCUACAGACACGGGAUGCAGGUUUCCUGUAUGGGCCGGAUAAUCCCCAAGUGGAGAUGAGAUGCAUAUCUAUUCCGCCACAGCAUGGAACUCACCGGCCAGAUGGUGACUUUGCCGGCGAAUCUCCCAGAUCAUGAGUUCCUUGCUGACUUGGAGCUGUUGGGACCCAGACAAAUGAAGCUCCUAAGCUAUCACCUCAGGAUUUGACAUCACAUGCUAAAAUUUUGGAGAGAAGAACAAACAGUGGGAUGGUGACAAGUGCAUCAUUUUGACUUGUCGGUGAACAUCUUUGGUCAGUGGUUAUGUUUGCGAGAACAAAAAAACCUAUCGUGGCCAGUGGCCAUCGCUUGUCAAACUGAUUCGUUAUCGUCAAGCGGAUGUUUUGCUUGGUGUUAUCAUCCUUGCCUCGUUGAUGCUUUGUGAUUGUUGAAGCAUCUGGUUGCUCUUGUUCUUAAGAUUGGAGUAGUUGCAGAUUUCUGUUGCUAGAUUGGAUUACUUGCAGAUUUCUGAGAGCAAAUCAGUUGGUCUGGGCCUGGUCAAUCCGCUAUUGCUUCAGCCAGUUCUGGGAUCAGUGGGAUGGUGACGCCUCGAAGAAUGUGGUCACGUAAUCACCACCCCCACGCCCAUCCUUUGAUCAUCAAUAGAACACUCCAGCAUCAACAUUACUUUUAACCAUCUUGGCACUGACGAUGAUGCCUCACACCUAGAGAUAGACACAUGGAAAUAAGACCGCUAUUGGAUAUGAGCCUCCUUCCUGAUCUUAUGCACAAUCCUUCAUGGUACAGGACCGCCUUUGCUAUUCCGUUCUUCGUUGCAUGCGUGCGUCCCAUAGAAACCAACACCUGACAGCAAUAGCAGUGGGUGUUUCUUCUUCUUUUUGACUAUUUUGACAGUAACUUGGAUUAUGAGGCAAUGAAUGGUUUCAACUCACUAUAUAUCUUGCAGAUACUUUGAGCGCCUCAAAGCACUGGUUUGUCGAUAUACUAUUACUGUUAGGCAUUCAAAUGUACCAGAUUAAGCAAGGGAAAGAAAGGCAACUUACCUCGAAAUCUGUGUUGCCCCCAAGCAAAGCGUUGUACAAAAAUGCAGCAGCAGUUGCGGGCAUGUCAAACAAGUGAUUUGAUUUGAUUUGCAGCCAAAGACUGAAAGGAAUUGCCCCUUGAGAACUUGGAAUAAGUGAUCAUAACUAAGAAUUAUAUAUCAGCAAGUGUAACUGUCUUGAAGAUGAUAAGCGUUGCACUGCCCCUCAGCUAUUGUUUCUGUUUCCGUGGAGCAUCAGUCAUAUAAUAUUUGGAGAGCUGACAUUGCCGGCACAUCUCAUAUGAUCGGAUAUUCUCAUGGCAGUACAUUUCUAAUGCUGUUUUGGCUUGAAUCAUCAAUUCUGUUGUACGUGCUUAUAGUAUUUGUGUGGGAUUAUAAUAUCUGAAGCUCUGGACAUGUACAGAAAAAGGAGGCACCUGCUUGGCGAGAAGCCAGCGCCUAUGGCGAAAGUCUAAAUUCAGAAUAUAUGCCUGGACUACUUUAGCCUUUUGCAUAGUUUUUUACUGGGCAGUAGUUCGACAAUUCACAGUAGCGUUUUAAGUAAGAGUAUUUGCAUGUGUGCAUCUUCAGCUGGUGCCUUUAUUUUCAGCCCUAUUUAUUUCCGUUUCAUGUCAAUGCAAGACCUUAUACAAUUGACGCAUGCUUUCCGAUUUCCUUAAGGAGGUUGAGGUAUGCAGUAUUUGUCAUGUCUGAGUUGUAACAAUGCCUUUCAGUUAGUAUGCUACAUGCUCAUUCAGAUUUUUGCUCAUCAAAUAAUCAUUCAGAUCAAAUGCUGAAUCUUGAUAAUGCCUUUCAGUUGUACGAUUACUUGUUCCAGGAUUUGUUCAUUUACUUGUCCCAGCCAACAACUCUCUAAUAUAAUGUAUCAUGAUCCGUUGAUUACUUGUUUCAGGAUUUAUGCGUUACUGUUUUUUUUAUCAACUAGCUAGCUGUUGCCUGUAGUGCAAAAUUUAUUUGGUGUUGGUGACUUGGAACGUUUCAUCCAGUGAGUUUCUCAACCGUCAUGAGCUCAAGUAUCCUGUAGGUGACUUGCAACUCUGGGUUGGCCUAGCAGUUGGUAAACUAAAUUCUUUAUGAGUAACAUGUAUGCCUGUAGUUUCUCUUCUCCCUGGUUUUAAUUUUCAGGGUUUUGUUCUCCAUGCUGUAAGAUGCUACUGAGCUCAAAUUGCAGGCCCUUGGAUUCACUCUGACGACUAUAUGACUACAGGAAAAUCACACUUGCGUCAUACUGGACAUGAAGCUUUAGGUCAUUUGGUGGAAGACGCAUCAACAAGCAGUUUCAUGAUAUAAGUCUACAUACCACAGGCUCGAUGAAACUGCAGUUCUCCAGCUUGUGGCAGCGAAUCAUCACGUGUGAUCUUGAUGGCUGAUCAGGCAUGUUCUUGCUCAUUACUUCAACUUCAAAGUGCACAUUUCUGUAGUUAUUUUAGGUGUGUGUAGCCUGCUAUGGUGCUCAUCAGGUUCUUACUUUCAAAGUGGAAACCUGUCUUUAGAUAUUUCAGUCAAGCUCAUAGGUGCAAUUUAGCUGUUCUUCUUGCAACAUUUGUUACUGCUUGAUUGCCCAGGAGUUAUAAUCUUUGUUA